RNAcentral lists this ribosomal RNA (501 nucleotides) under uncultured bacterium. Its description in RNAcentral is "partial 16S ribosomal RNA". It matches the Rfam family "Bacterial small subunit ribosomal RNA", at positions 30 to 523 of the family's 1533-position model. The record is from RNAcentral.
AUUGAACGCUGGCGGCAGGCUUAACACAUGCAAGUCGGGCGGGGUGAUGUAGCUUGCUACAUUACCUAGCGGCGGACGGGUGAGUAAUGCUUAGGAAUCUGCCUAUUAGUGGGGGACAACAUUCCGAAAGGAAUGCUAAUACCGCAUACGCCCUACGGGGGAAAGCAGGGGAUCUUCGGACCUUGCGCUAAUAGAUGAGCCUAAGUCAGAUUAGCUAGUUGGUGGGGUAAAGGCCUACCAAGGCGACGAUCUGUAGCGGGUCUGAGAGGAUGAUCCGACACACUGGGACUGGGACACGGGCCAGACUGCUACGGGAGGCAGCAGUGGGGAAUAUUGGACAAUGGGCGGAAGCCUGAUCCAGCCAUGCCGCGUGUGUGAAGAAGGCCUUUUGGUUGUAAAGCACUUUAAGCGAGGAGGAGGCUACUUGGAUUAAUACUCUAGGAUAGUGGAUGUUACUCGCAGAAUAAGCACCGGCUAACUCUGUGCCAGCCGCCGCCGUAA